RNAcentral lists this ribosomal RNA (896 nucleotides) under uncultured Bacillota bacterium. Its description in RNAcentral is "bacterial SSU rRNA". It matches the Rfam family "Bacterial small subunit ribosomal RNA", at positions 58 to 958 of the family's 1533-position model. Lineage: Bacteria; Bacillati; Bacillota. The record is from RNAcentral.
CAAGUCGAGCGAGAGGAAGUAGCAAUACUUUAGUACAGCGGCGCACGGGUGAGUAACACGUGGAUAACCUGCCUUGAAGUGGGGAAUAACCCCGGGAAACCGGAGCUAAUACCGCAUAAUCUGACGAAGUCUGCGGAUUUUGUCAGCAAAGGAGCAAUUCGCUUUAAGAGGGGUCCGCGGCUGAUUAGCUAGUUGGUGAGGUAAUGGCUCACCAAGGCCACGAUCAGUAGCCGGUCUGAGAGGACGGUCGGCCACACUGGAACUGAGACACGGUCCAGACUCCUACGGGAGGCAGCAGUGGGGAAUUUUUCGCAAUGGGGGCAACCCUGACGAAGCAACGCCGCGUGGGUGAUGAAGUAUUUCGGUACGUAAAACCCUUUCGACGGGGACGAAACCGCAAGGUUGACGGUACCCGUAGAAGAAGCCCCGGCUAACUCCGUGCCAGCAGCCGCGGUAAUACGGGGGGGGCAAGCGUUGUUCGGAAUUACUGGGCGUAAAGGGCGCGUAGGCGGUUUGCUAAGUUGGAUGUGAAAACUCUGGGCUUAACCCAGAGCCUGCAUCCAAAACUGGCAAACUUGAGUACUGGAGGGGAAAGCGGAAUUCCUGGUGUAGCGGUGAAAUGCGUAGAUAUCAGGAGGAACACCGGUGGCGAAGGCGGCUUUCUGGACAGUAACUGACGCUGAGGCGCGAAAGCUAGGGGAGCAAACAGGAUUAGAUACCCUGGUAGUCCUAGCCCUAAACGAUGGAUACUUGGUGUGAAGGGGGAAUUGAAUCCCUUCGUGCCGUAGCUAACGCAAUAAGUAUCCCGCCUGGGGAGUACGGUCGCAAGGCUGAAACUCAAAGGGAAUUGACGGGGGCCCGCACAAGCGGUGGAGUAUGUGGUUUAAUUCGACGCA